UCAAGCUACAAAGAGCGCAAGGGGAAUGCCUUGGCACUAGGAGCCGAAGAAGGACGCAGCAAACUGCGAUAAGCUAUGGGGAGCCGUAAGCAGGCAUUGAUCCAUAGAUAUCCGAAUGGAGCAAUCCGGCCGGAGUCAUGUCCGGUCAUCAUAUACUGAAUACAUAGGUAUAUGAGGGGAACCGCCUGAACUGAAACAUCUAAGUAGGGCGAGGAAGAGAAAUCAAAAUGAGAUUCCGCUAGUAGUGGCGAGCGAACGCGGAAGAGGCCAAACCGAGAGUAGCAAUACACUCGGGGUUCGGACAGUAACAUGUAUGGCAGAGCAUAGCAGAAUGGCAUGGGAAGGCCAAUCAGAGAGUGUGAGAAUCACGUAUGCGAAAUGCAAAGCUGGCAAACUGUAUCCAGAGUACUGCGGGACACGUGAAAUCCCGUGGGAAUACGGGGGGACCACCCUCCAAGCCUAAAUACUACCUAGUGACCGAUAGAGAAGAGUACUGUGAAGGAAAGGUGAAAAGAACCCCGGGAGGGGAGUGAAAUAGAACCUGAAACCUUGUGCUUACAAGCACCGAGAGCCCGUCAAAGGGUGAUCGGGUACCUAUUGUAGAAUGGUCCGGCGAGUUAAUGUAACUGGCAAGGUUAAGGACUAAAGGUCCGGAGCCGCAGCGAGAGCGAGUCUGAAUAGGGCGUAUGAAGUCAGUUGUAUUCGACCCGAAACCGGGUGACCUACCCAUGUCCAGGUUGAAGUGGAGGUAAAACUCCAUGGAGGACCGAACCGACUCCCGUUGAAAUGGUAGCGGAUGAGGUGUGGGUAGCGGAGAAAUUCCAAUCGAACCCGGAGAUAGCUGGUUCUCUCCGAAAUAGCUUUAGGGCUAGCCUUGUAUUAGAUUACUGGAGGUAAAGCACUGAAUAGGCUAGGGGCCGAGAGGUUACCGAACCUUAUCAAACUCAGAAUGCCAGAUAAUUGAUGUACAGGAGUCAGACAGUGUGAGAUAAGUUUCAUUGUCGAAAGGGAAAGAGCCCAGACCCACAGCUAAGGUCCCAAAAUAUAGUUAAGUGGAAAAGGAUGUGGGGGUGCACAGACAACCAGGAUGUUGGCUCAGAAGCAGCCAUUCAUUAAAAGAGUGCGUAAUAGCUCACUGGUCGAGUGCCCCUGCGCCGAAGAUUUAACGGGGCUAAACUAUAUACCGAAGCUUGGGCAAUGCAGUAAUGCAUUGGGUAGGAGAGCGUUGUAUGCGGGGUGAAGUCAGAGCGAAAGCGCUGGUGGACUGCAUACAAGUGAGAAUGCCGGAAUGAGUAGCGAGAAAUAUGUGAGAAUCAUAUUGGCCGAAAGUCUAAGGUUUUAGGAGGAAGGUUCGUCCGCUCCUAGUAAGCCGGGAGCUAAGGUGAGGCCGAAAGGCGUAGCCGAUGCACAUACGGUAGAAAUUCCGUAGCCACCGAAAGAUUUAAGCAAGAGGACACCCAGAAAGAGCAUAACCCGGGCGUUGGUUGACCCGGGCGUAAGGGACUGAAAUUAGAGUAGGGAAGUAUGCGUGGACUGGGGCGAGAAAAGCUGUGUGAAUAUCUAAGGUGCCCGUACCGCAAACCGACACAGGUAGAUAGGAAGAGAAUUCUAAGGCCAACGGGAGAAGGGUAGUUAAGGAACUCGGCAAAUUGACCCCGUAACUUAGGGAAAAGGGGUGCCACAGCAAUGUGGCCGCAGAGAAUAGGCCCAGGCGACUGUUUAGCAAAAACACAGGUUUCUGCCAAAUCGAAAGAUGAAGUAUAGGAGCUGACACCUGCCCGGUGCUGGAAGGUUAAGAGGAGAGGUGCAAGCCUUGAAUUGAAGCCCCAGUAAACGGCGGCCGUAACUAUAACGGUCCUAAGGUAGCGAAAUUCCUUGUCGGGUAAGUUCCGACCCGCACGAAUGGUGUAACGAUCUGGGCACUGUCUCAACUACCCGCCCGGCGAAAUUGUAGUACCGGUGAAGAUGCCGGUUACCCGUGACAAGACGGAAAGACCCCAUGGAGCUUUACUGUAGCUUAAUAUUGGGUUUCGAUAAUUUAUGUACAGGAUAGGUGGGAGGCUAGGAAACUCUGGCGCCAGCCGGAGUGGAGCCACCCUUGGGAUACCACCCUUAAGUUAUUGGAAUUCUAACCUGCGGCCGUGAAUCCGGCCGGGGGACAUUGUUAGGUGGGCAGUUUGACUGGGGCGGUCGCCUCCAAAAAGGUAACGGAGGCGCUCAAAGGUUCGCUCAGCACGGACGGAAACCAUGCUUUUGAGUGCAAACGCAGAAGCAAGCCUAACUGCGAGGGUGACGGCCCGAGCAGUAACGAAAGUUGGAGUUAGUGAUCCGGCGGUAUGA
RNAcentral lists this ribosomal RNA (2340 nucleotides) under human gut metagenome. Its description in RNAcentral is "bacterial LSU rRNA". It matches the Rfam family "Bacterial large subunit ribosomal RNA", at positions 3 to 2431 of the family's 2925-position model. The record is from RNAcentral.